RNAcentral lists this ribosomal RNA (700 nucleotides) under Streptomyces poonensis. RNAcentral's name for it is "bacterial SSU rRNA". It matches the Rfam family "Bacterial small subunit ribosomal RNA", at positions 134 to 845 of the family's 1533-position model. The record is from RNAcentral. Lineage: Bacteria; Bacillati; Actinomycetota; Actinomycetes; Kitasatosporales; Streptomycetaceae.
CACUUCGGGACAAGCCCUGGAAACGGGGUCUAAUACCGGAUACGACACGGGACCGCAUGGUCUUCGUGUGGAAAGCUCCGGCGGUGCAGGAUGAGCCCGCGGCCUAUCAGCUUGUUGGUGAGGUAAUGGCUCACCAAGGCGACGACGGGUAGCCGGCCUGAGAGGGCGACCGGCCACACUGGGACUGAGACACGGCCCAGACUCCUACGGGAGGCAGCAGUGGGGAAUAUUGCACAAUGGGCGAAAGCCUGAUGCAGCGACGCCGCGUGAGGGAUGACGGCCUUCGGGUUGUAAACCUCUUUCAGCAGGGAAGAAGCGAAAGUGACGGUACCUGCAGAAGAAGCGCCGGCUAACUACGUGCCAGCAGCCGCGGUAAUACGUAGGGCGCAAGCGUUGUCCGGAAUUAUUGGGCGUAAAGAGCUCGUAGGCGGCUUGUCACGUCGGAUGUGAAAGCCCGGGGCUUAACCCCGGGUCUGCAUUCGAUACGGGCAGGCUAGAGUUCGGUAGGGGAGAUCGGAAUUCCUGGUGUAGCGGUGAAAUGCGCAGAUAUCAGGAGGAACACCGGUGGCGAAGGCGGAUCUCUGGGCCGAUACUGACGCUGAGGAGCGAAAGCGUGGGGAGCGAACAGGAUUAGAUACCCUGGUAGUCCACGCCGUAAACGGUGGGCACUAGGUGUGGGCAACAUUCCACGUUGUCCGUG